UCCCCCUCACCCCACCCCCCGUAAAGAAAAUCACGAAGGUGCUAAGUGGUAGGCACGGCCUGAUCUAGGAGUUGAGUUUUUCAGUGAACUCAGAAGGGGAAGCAAAACAAACUUACCCUGUUCUCAGCUGUGGGUUAAAAUAACGAAUAAUGAAAUAAAGUAAACUGGGUGAGUGAGAGGUUCUACCGGGAGAAGUGAUUUAAAAUGCUCUCCUGGCCUUUCCCGGCUGUUCUCCUUCCUGUGCGAGUCCUUGAGUCCUUCCCUCCCACCCAGCCACCGGAGGCCCAGUGCUGUCUUCCAGGUUUUGCUUCUCGUCUUCCUGAAGCUCAUAGUGCUGUCUUAUGCGUCUUCUGUCUUCCCUGAUAUUUACUUUCAUUUUAUUUUCUCUUCAUACUUUAGCCCCCUUUCCACUAGGUGCAGCUCAGAUCCUUUAUACUGUUCUCGGUCUUCUUCAUUUUAAAUUACAAACUCACCUCUCUUUUGCUUCUGGUCCUCAGGUGUUUUCUCCUUACAUUAUGAUGUUCUUCCUUUUAUGUUAUUUCAAGUUCCUAUUAUUUAGUUUCAAUAAUUUGUGCAGCAGAAAGGCAAGGAGAGCAGGAACAACUACACAAAGAACAAUUAGGGAGAAUGGCUCAGCUCUGCAAGGGGCAGUGAAACAAUGGUGGUUGCAAAAGUGAAUUGUAUGUGUAUUUUUUUUUUUAAUAAUGUUAAUAGAUUUUUCUAAAUGGCUGUUGGUUUUGGAAGAGGAACAUUUUUUUCCCUGCUUUUAUCUUUCACUGAUUCAAAAAUAAAUUCAAAUUAUCCAUCACAUUCAAAGAUUAAGGAAAAACAUACUUUUAAAAUAUAUGUGAAAUAUAAAGAUUUUAAAUAGUGGUUUUUUUUUUUAAUUUUAAGGGUUAGUAAUACUAUACUACACAAUAAUAAAUAGUAUAUUGAGGAAAAGAAUGUGUGAAUGACGUAUGAUUCCUUUAGAAGAAGAAAAUUCCAAUUUUCAGAUUGCAGAGAAGCACCUGAAAUAUGUUUUAUACGUACCUGAUAAUGUACAGAGGAUAAAUUUUAAGAUACUCUUUUCUGGUCAUCAUCGAGUAUAUAUGAUGUCACAGGUAUUCAUUGGCAAACUUUCAGAACGUUGAAAAUUUAGUGAUACUAAGGUUGACUAUUAUUAUUGACAAGCUAUCUUUUAUGUGUGUUAGUUUGUUUCCAAGCUAGUGGUCUUGGCGAGGGUGAGUGUCUGGCCUGUGUUACGAUUAGUCAUAAGGAACAGGAGGUGCAAAUGGUUUCUAACAAAAGCACCCUUUAAGGUUACCUUAAUUGUUCUUUCCUGCCAGAACCCUAAAAACAAUACUCCAGAGCAUAAGAUUGUUAAAAAUGUGAAAUUUUCCUUGAAAUAUCGAGUGAGACAUAAAGAUCUAGAGAGAUGGUUGUGAAAAUGUGGAUUUUAUAGUAUUUAGUCACCAUCUCAGAGUCUUUGAGAAGAGAAAAUGCGGACAGUUUUCUUUGUGAUCUGGAGCAUUUUCCCUCAGUUUUACUUCAUGUGUUCUUUCCUCACAUUUGAUUCUGAACUGCAGUGAUUAUCUUGGUAUGAAUAAUAAUUUACAGAUUAAAAAAUGUGUAUAGAACCCAUUUUGGCUUAUGCAUUUUGCCACAUUUAUUGCUCCUUUUAAAAUUUUAUAUGUUCUAAGAAAAUGCGUUUAUUACAAUUCUAAUAUUGAAAUAUUCAACACGUUAAAGGUAGGUACAAAUUUUAAACUAUUUAACAAAAUGCUUUACUGCUGUUUGUCUUUUGUGACAAAGGUCUGUUUUAUAUUAAGUUUAUGAUUUCUGGAAAACUAUUUAAGACUAAUAAAAAUUAUCUGGCUCUUUCUUGGACCUGUAACAGCAGACGGUGACCGUGUUAGGCUUGACUCUGGAGCGAUCAGGAUACAAAGCUUGAGAAAAUGGCACAAGACGAAUUUAAAGAGUGCUGAACCAAGGGUCCCUUCACUUUACAGGAGCUACCCCACAUUUAGCAAAAUGGUAGGCUGCAGGCAGCCACUCUUAUGCAACUGAGGCAGCAUUGGUGUUGAGUGGUUUCCCAGGCAUCGGUGCCCUUGCCUCUUUUCGAAAAUGUUCCUGCCCUGUGAGAAUUCAUAACUAGUCUACAUUUAUAUAGCUGUAAUCUCUUACAAUAGCUUCAUUGAUACUUGAUCUCCAUAGAAAAGCUUUAUGGGUUCUAAUGAGUCACUGCUCUUGAGGCACCAGCCGCCCUCCCUAUCUGUGAGUGGCUUUGUGUCCUGUGUUGUACUGAUUGUGCCUUUGGAUGACAACUUACUUGAGUGAUGGAGAGAGGCAGGGUAAUUUAUUAAAAGUAAUUACAAAGAAACCUAACAAAAAGAGUAAUUACAGUGCUGUUAAUAUGCAAUUCGUUAUUUUAUUGCUGCAAUAUUUAGAACUGGGUCUUAUUUGUGGGUCUCCCUUUUUUCCUUGUAAAUCUCUGGCAAAUACAUAAUUUAUUAAAUUCUCUAUACCUAGGUCUCAAAGUAGAUUUGGUUUUACAAAAUCUUGGCUUUUUCUGCCUUUUUUUUUUUUUAAACUGGACCGAGGAAGAAUGGCUGAGAAAAUGUAUUUUUGGUAGCCUCAGGAAAGGAGGCUGAUCUGCAUAAUUUUAUGCCAUUAAAUUUUCAUCUGUUCCAUAGAUUUAUUUUUUUAAGAAUCUGCACCUUUAAGAAAAUGUUCUAAGAAUUUUGAGUGUACUGAAAUUCCUUCCAUUUUCAACUAGCAUAACGGAGAAAAUUAAAGUACAGUCAUCCACUUACCUCACGCACUUAUUCACGUAUUUUAAAAAGAAUCUGUGAAUGGGACUAUUAAUAUAAUAAUAGCUGACACUUGUCAUGUGUCAAGCUCUAUUCUAAGUGCUUUGCAUGUACCCGCUCAUGUAAAUGUACCAUUAAAGUAGUACCACCAACCAGCAAUGUGCUAUGAGGAUGUUGUAGACGGGGGCAAACGCUUUGUGAAAGUAGGUGAGGUAUAAACAAAUCAAAUAAUUGCUGCAGAAAAGAAUGCUUUGGGCAAGAUUUAAACAAAUUUUUUUAGCCCAGGCUAUUGAUAGCCCUAGACCACGAGCAUAAAGGACGCAUCUCUAAAUGAGGAAAAUCCUAGCCAGCGAAUGUUUUGAAAACACAUGAAAGUGUGCAGAUAAUUACACUAUUGUUGAUUUUAGCAGAUCUGAUGCCAGCAGCCAGCAACUCUUCUGUGCCAUGAAAGAUGAAAGCCAUUUUAAUAUAAAACAUGAGUGUGGCUGGAACAGGGAGGCGGGCAGAGAACAAUCUCGUGCCUUUUUAGUUACUUUUAUAGGAAGCAUUAGUUACAUUCCUGUGAUAGAAUGCUUUACUUGGCCAUCAUUCUCAUCUCAGGCGUUUUAAUGAUUGCUGUUUUGCGCCUAGCAUCAUACAGUAGUAAUAAGAUGCGUUAUUUUAGUAGGACCUACUGAUGUCAGUGUCGUUUAGGACCUGUGAAUGUUUCCAUUCAUCUUCUAUUUCAGGAGGCGGACACUAUUAUGUGUCUUUAGGUAUAGCUGACAUGUAUUUCACUUACGUUUCUGGGUCUCUGAGUGCAGCAGAACUGACACUCAAGCCUUUUAUUUUAUCUCCAGCACUUAGGGAAGGACCUGAUUACAUGCAGCCUUGAUUACUAUUUGUUGAAUGAGUUAGAUGAAUGAUUCCCACACAUGGCACUUACCUUCCUAAAUCAUACUUGGCGAUUACAUUUUUUAAAAAUUGUAACGUCCCAGUUCUUGUUUAAUUAUUUUGAUCUUUAAUGACAGAGGUUUUCACGAAGGCACAUUGGGGAGAGCUUUCCUGGUUGUCAUGGGUCAUCUUUUUCAUCUCGUCUAUAAAGAGAGCUCAGAGCCAGGAAGACCUGACCCUGGUCCCAACUCUGCCACCCAAUCAUGUGCUCCCUGAGUUUGUCACUUGACUUCUGCUUUCAUCUGAAAAUCCUUUCAUUUAACAGGCCAGUUAGGCCAGUGUACCUUAAUGAUAAGAUUAAUGUGUGUGUUUGGCCUUGACUCUUUCUUAUACUUUUAUGAUGUAAUUUUUCUUUUGUCCAUUUUUGGUAUUUAGGAGGCUUAUAUUUUUGUUAUAGUGGUUACUUUGACAUAAUAAUACAUUUUGGUUUCUUUUCUUCACUUUAUUUAUUUUUUUGCUCUUGUGUAUUGAUUUCCUGCUGUGAGCAGUAGUGAAAUUAGAUGUUAACCUUUUCUUGCCCCUCCUCUUUUGAUCUUCUGUCAUGUGACUUGAAAUACUGUUUUUUUGCUUCAGUUAAACACCUUUAACACAGCCAACAAGCUGACAGUAUUUAUACAGUCUUCCCAUUUCCUCCUCUUUUUUUUUUUUUUGAUAGUUGUACUAGAUUUACAGUGUCAGCGCAUGUAGACAUAGUAUACCAUAUGCUUUAUAAAAUCACAUAGUUUUAAUUCUGCAAGUAAAUUUAUAAUGCUCAUCAGCUGCCCUUAUAUAACUGAUCUUCAGCAAUUGGGAUUUUUUGAAGCUAGUUCCAGAGUGGAUUUCUCAGGAAGAGCUUGGGGCAACUAUAUUUCCUGAGGUCUUGCAUUUUAAUAAGUUUGUGCUCUUUCCAUGUGAGGGUCAGUUCAACUAGACACAAAAUUUUGGAUUCAUGUUUUCUUUGUUUAAGUGUCUUGAGUAUGUUACUCCAUUGUCUUGCAUGAAGUCUUCUGCUCGUCUCAAUUCUUCCCCUCAGAGUGACCUGGUCUUUUCUCUUGGACAUCCAGAUCAUUUCUUCUUUAAAUUCCAAAAAUGUUACUUGGGUAUGUCUCAUUGUGGGCUAGUUUUCACAGUUGUCCAUUGGCUUUUGAGCUUUAUUUGCCUCAUUUGUAAAAUGAGAAUAAUGGUAACUUUUUUUUUUUUUUUUUUGCUACUCAAAGUGGAUUUGAAGACCACCUAAGAUACUGUAUAUAAAGUGCUUUACAUUUAUUUUAGUUUCUGUGACUCUUCAAAGUCCCCUGUUGUUAGGAACUUUAAAAUUUAGAGUAUUUUAUGGGCAUUUGGACUUGAGUUGGCUUUAUAUUUGGGAUAAAUCUAAAGUGGAUUCUCUGAAGUCUUUUGUCUGCAUUUUAGCGAUGUGUAAAUGCAUGCCGACUCCUUGCGGUAAGCAGGCGGUCUGUGCCCAUGCGUGGAGAACUUCUGGCCUAAAAACAGUGGUGCUUUUUGAAAGAAUCUCACGUAGAAAACACUUCCUCCAUUAUAUUCUACUCACACUCUUCUCACACUUAGUUUCCCACAUAAAACUGGGUUUACAUGACCGUAGUCUACGUGUAGAACAAUAACACAGGAAAAAAAAAUUUUGUUUUUCAAAUAAUGAGAGCUGAAAACUCAAGUCAGUUCUCAUCAGCCAACAUGUUUUCUUGGAUUUGCUGUACAUAAGUCCUAUAUAAGAAGCUGCUGGAAAAUACCAGAGACACAGGAGAUGUCAUUUCUGGCCAUGGGAGAUAAAACACACACAUAUCAAAGAUCAUUUACAAAGCAGCAUGUGAUAAAUAAAUUCAAACCAGUGUGGCACAAACUAAGGACAUGAGUAUAUGAUGCAUUUUACCUGAGGCUACCCUGGACUCGAGUUUCCACGCCUGGGCCAUGUUUUGAUAAAGCAACCUUUACACAUGCAGCCUGGAAGUUGCGGUGGGAAAUUGGGUAACUGAAUUAACUGAAUCCAUUUUAAUGCUUUUACAUGAUUUGUAAGCACAGAUAGGGGUUUGAUUGACGUACAUGUAAAUAGUGUUAGUGUCUUUAUUUGAAAAUGUGAUUCUUAAAAAUAAAUUCAUCCAUGUUUUGCAAGUAAGGCUGGAACCUAUCAUAGAAAUUCUGCUGACACUUAUGAACCAGAAUCAUUCAAAAACCCAAGGCUAGAAAUAUAAUACUGCCUAUAAUUCCAUGUUUAACACAUUCCUUAUUAAAUUCUAUUUUUAUUUGAACCAUUUAUUUACUGACUUAACUGCAUAUCCACAGCACACAAAACCCCGAAUAAGGAGUAUGCAUAAAUACAGAGAUGAAUGGAAAACAGGCCUCAACUAGUUUACAGUUAGGUGUGAAAAACUGUAUAAAGUGGGAAACAGAACUGAAUCAAACGUCUAUGAAUGGUAACGCAGGUAUGUGCACAGAGUAGUUUGGAUAUCUGUAAGGAAAGGGAACCCUCUCACUUUGGGCAUUUUGCGUUAUCCAUAAGUCUGGUCCCGGAUGAUAGCAGGGUAUAAAUAUUUGUUCGAGUUUAUUCAGCUUUUGUUACUUUGUAGAAUUGAGGGUACCAGCAUUUCGGUUCUCAAGGUUCUGAUGGUCUUCCCGAGAACAUACUGAUGCUGCAGUUAGCACUUCCCUUCGGCUUUGCAAAGUGCCACUGCCAGGUCAUGCUAUCUCUGGGCUUGAGGACGUCAGGUUUUCAGUCUGUUUCACUCUAUUUUUGCCCUUUUAUUUGCAUCGUUAAGUUUUGGAGUUUUUUCCUUCCCUAAACUUUUGGUUUCAGAAUCAGGGAUGGUGACUGCAAGCUCUAGAGCCCGUUCGUUUCCUCUUGUGAUUCUUGAACGUUGGAUCGUGUUAUUCACAAAGCAUCGCACUUGUUUCAGCACCAGAAAUAUAGCAUGACCUUUAAAAAAAAAAAAAAGUAUUAAGGAAAUAAUUCUAUGCCCCUUUUACCUUUCUGAUGAUGAGCACAGACUCAUCGAACGAGCUACAGAAUGGCAUUAAGUGCACAUCCAAAUCAUCAACAUUUUAAAUGUCUCUCUACAAAUCGAAAGGUUUGUUUUUCAGAGUGUUAAAUUCUAAAUCAUAGGUAUGUGAAGGUUCAGACUUCAUAGACACGAAGCAGGAAAACAACCUGAUUUGCAGUGGUUAAUACCAAGGAAACUAUGUAAAGUGGGAAAAGAUGGUCUUAGAAUAUGUUUGUACUUCCCUGGCAUUUUCGCAGAAAACAGGAACAGUAGCCCUCUUAGGCAGCUGCCUUUAUAACUGAAAGACAGAAAGCUUAUGCUGUUCGCUUUCUGUGGCCAUUUUCAUUUGAUGUCCAAGGAAAGAAAUUCAUGGUCUCCAUGAGGAGCAGGAGAAGUCAAAAAGGAACAGCACAAAUCUAGAAGAGAAGCAGGUCACAGCUCUGGACUGAGUUCCUGUACAAUUUGGUUUCUCACUUUUUCUCCUUAACUGUCAGCCACACAAACUCUAGUUUUCAGUGUCGAAGGUACGGUGUGAGCAUUUAUUCCUGACGCUAAUGGUAAAGGAUGCUGAGUGCUUCCACAGACAACAGAAGAUUAUGGUUCUGAUUCUCUCUUUUAACAGUUUCAUUGAAUUUAAUGUCCUGUGUCUUUUAUAUGACAUAAAAUUCACCCACAUACAGUUUGUUGGGUUUUAAGACACUUACACAGUUGUGCAGCCAUCAUCACAAUCUAGUUUUAGAACAUUUCCAUCACCAAAACGUUCCCUUGUAUCCAUUUGUGGUUAAUCCCCAUCCUGACCCCUAGCCCCAGGGAACUACCAAUUUGCUUUCUGUCUUUAGUUUUGCCUCUUACACAAAUUUCAUAUAAAUGGAAUCAUACACACUUUAGUCUUUUGGACCUGGGUGCUUCCAUUUAUCAUCCUGUUUUGAGUAUCAGAAGUAUUGCAUAUAUUUGUGUUUGUUCCUUUUCAUUAUCAAGUAGUAUUCCAUUGUGUGGGUGGACUGCAUUUUGUUUAUAUGUUUACUGCUUGAUGGACAUUUGGGUUUUUUGCAGUUUUGGCUUAUUAUGAAUAGUGUUUAAGUGUCUUUAUGUAGACCUACUUCUUUUGGGCAUGGCUUGGCCAUAGGGUAAGGGUAUGUUUAACUUUUCAAGAAACUGCUAAACUGUUUUUCCAAAGUGGCUGCAGCAUAUUUCCACCAGUAGUGUUUAAGGUUCCCAGUUUUUUGUGUUUUUGUUUGUUUGUUUGUUUGUUUGUUUGUUUUUUAUAGAGAGUGAGUGCAAGCUGGGGAGAGGGGCAGAGAGAGAAUCUGAAGCAGGCUCCAUGCUCAGCGUGGAGCCUGAUGCAGGGCUCAAUCCCACAACCCUGGAAUCAUGACCUGAGCCAAUCAAGAGUUGAUGCUCAACCAACUGAGCCACCCAGGCGCUCCUAAGGUUCCCAGUUUCUCUGUCUCCUCAUCAGCCCUUGGAAUUGUCAGACAUCUUUAUUUUAACCAUUCUCAUGGGAGUUGAACUAUGCUUUCUAUACUUCUUUUAUUUCUUGUGAGGAUCUCAAAGUAUCUCUAUACCCCAAUAUGCUUGUGUCCCGCAUUUUACAGAUCAGAAGGCAGUAGAGCAGUACCUGGAGAAUCUAAAUGUCUCACCCAAGAUCCCCAAAUGAAUCACUGAGCUUAGAGUCCUCAUGCAGCAGUUGGGGACACAGCAGCCUGUUUUCCAACUCGUGGCUCCCUGUGACUCAGGGCCUUCUUUGUCCUCAUAGCUUUGUUGGGUGUGGCUUUCUUUUGAUCUUUGUAGAAUGAUCAUUCUUAUCCUCUGUGGAAUUUUGUCUGAUGAAAUCCAGUUGUUUUCUGCAGAGAUGUGCUCGUGUCUUGGAGAGGUGCUCCUUAGCUGCAGUACACAGGCUUGUGUGGCUCAGGCCUGGCUCCCAAGGCGGGCCCUGUGGACUGUGCCACCACGUGUCAUCCUGUCAAAGGGGGUAGAUGCUUGCCUCACCAGAGCCUUGUGGGAGUCAAGUGAGGUGACUUAUCGAAAACAGCUGGCAUGUACUAAAUAUUUAAUACAUUUUACAGCACCUCUUCAGAUGACUGUGAAGGGCUGAUUAUCUUGUGGUGUGUGGAUGGUAACACCACUCUUAUGGGUUUUUUUUGUCUGUACAGUGAGGCAGGAAAACAUUCUUAAAUUUAUAUACUAAUUUUAAAAAAUCAGCCAUGGUUUCUUAUUGUUCUUUGGUCUGCAGCAAAUGUAGCAGUAGUACUUUUAUAAGUUUGUAUGUUUAGUCCCUGUCUUUUGGCUUCACUCAAGAAGACUAAUCCUACUUCUCAGAGCUACUGGAUCAAUUCAUGUGUGUCUCCCUUCGGUUUGUCCACUCUGGUAGAAUAAGGUGUUGUUGUUCCGUGUUCCAAGUUGAAGUGCUCAAAGUGUUCUUUAGGCUAUAAGAUCUGUGUUCUAGCAAAGUUCGGCUUUAGAUCAGUCUAUAAUCAUUUCUUACACUCAACGUGUCAUUGCUUUUGUUUCUUUGGACCAAAAUGUUCUGAUAUGAAGUUCCUUUGAAGGCUGGUGGGGUUUAUACAAAUACCCAGCUAAUGAAAAGCACUUAAAUAUGGGGCACACCUCCCCACUCCAUUGUCACUUUGCAGGUCAUGUUGAAGAGAAGGUUCCAGUUAACCUCUGUUGCCUUUUGCUGGCCACAGUUGUAGUGUUUAUUUCAUGACAAAAAGUGAAUUCUAGGUAGUUGUCUGUGAGAUGAUUAUUUUCUCUGAAAUGACUCUUGGUCACGUUGAGUUUCUAAGUGUUAAAGGGGAACGUGGUUUUUGGAUCUGUGAAAAAUUUCAUCUUGGUCUCUGGCUGCCACACAGAACAGGAGCUAAAAGGUUGAGAACUUCAGAAACUAGCCUCCCCACCCCCAAGGAGCUGUCUAAAAUGACUGGAGGAGCGUGUGCGGGGCUGUAAUGUUAUGAAAGCUACUGGAGGUCCUAAGCGCGCAGGACCAUGAGGGGGGAAAUGGAGGGGAAUGUCCCAUGGAAAGUUGAACAACUCCAGUUUCAACUUAUUUGGGAGGCCAUACGGGAUGGAGCUGUUAGACAUAGGGAAGACCUUACGGCUUCUCCAAGGCCAGCCUUUCUGCAUGUGAAAACACGGGGGCCUUGAGAAUAUUUCGGUCCCAGGCUGGAGUGCCCGCCUGGAACCAGAGCCCACGUCUGUCCCCAUUUUUGCUGUCUUCACCUGGGCACUUCCCCCAAAGCAGGGUGUGGGGGCAGAGCGGCUUUGGACUCCGGUGAGGAGAAGUGGGUCCCGCUGGUCUUUGUUUUGUUGUAGGGCAUGGACAGCUGAGGGAGGCCUGGAAAGAAGGUCUGGGGGACUCAGAAUGUCCCUACAAGGCCACUCCUUGUCACCUAGAAACACAUCCGGAGUGAGGGCCCUUUCCUAGCAUACAGAGGCUUGGGUAGGCACCGACCAGGUCUGAUUUUGAGGGCUCGGUCAUUUCCGAACGCAGAGAAAGACUUCAUGGUGAGACAGCUGGGUGUCUGCAAGGGUGGACGUGGACAUUUGCUUUUCAUAAUAAAUGAGUGAAUUUUACAAGGCACAGAUUAUUUGAAGUUUUUGUGAUGCUUAUCACAGGCCAGGCAACUGCAACACGAAAAUGUUGUUGGGGUAGUUUUUUUAAUCAGACAUAAGUGUGACCAGAUUACUAGGCAUUUUAUUUUGGAAUGUGGUAAAGGCACACCCACAAAUGCCUUUUCUUCAGUCUGUGCAGAUAUCUUCAAUGUUUAUUCUAAAAUGCAAGGCUGCUUUCUGUGUUUCUACAUAUUCCUACCUCGAUGUAUCGCACAUUUAGAGUUAUGUUUUUCUUCAGUGUCUCUGACUUGGCUUGUGGCUUACAGGCCAAAUCAAACCACCUCCACCUCCAAAACAGUAUUGAUAAAACCAGUGCUGAACUUGGAUUAUGAAAGGUUUAGUUCCCAGAACUUGCUGUACUGUUGGCAGGGCAAAGUGAGUAGGAAUAUUAUGAUCUAGGGGAAAAACUGCUUGUGUUUUAUCUGCAACACAGCUGGCAGAUACAGAAGGAUAGUGCCCCAAAUGGGCAGACGAAAAGGGGGAGUGGGUACUGAGCUGCCUCAGACUUGCAGAAGGCACCCUGUCCCCUCACUCCCAGCAAAAUGAAAGGGGCUGGAGAGAAGGCACGGGAUGAGAUUCCUGCACUGCUGAUCUGGUAUACUUUGAGUCUUCUUUUGAGAUUAAGUCCCUGGCUUGGUCAACAGUAGCAUUACCCAGUCCUAGAGCACCAGAUUAUCAUAAGACAAAUUUCGAUGAUGCUGAACUGUCCUUCAACAAAGGAUUACUGCUGCACCCGCACGCACAUAUAACUUGGUUGGUAUGCAUGCAGACGCACACACGCAUGUGCACACACAUUUACCUGUUCCAUCGACCUCUGGCCUCCAAGCAGGGGAGGUUAGGGCUGAGGCCUGCUAUUGUGACCACUGUCUCCCAUCUCAGAGGGAAGCUGCAGACUCUGUUUCCACAGCUGGCACUGUUUGAGUCUGACUCAUGCUCCCUGUGCGUAAUGCAAAGUCAUUGUCAUUGUGAGCCAUCUGAGGGAGAGGUUUGGUGGAAAAAGUGACGGUGGAGCAAAGCAGGCUCCAGAGCAGGGGGUGAAAGAUAUGUUUUUUGUUUAGUUUCGCUGAACUUGUAGUCACUUUUCUGAGAACUGCCGUCAUCCUGCUAGAGUUGGAGAUGCUAGAAGAGAGAUCUGGCUUAUUGCUGCAGGACUCCUCACUCUUGUGUUUACAUUCUUAAAACAGGAGGAGGGGAGGAGAGUAAACUAAGUGAUUGUUGUAGAUUUUGAACAUGUAUCCAUAAUUUCUCAGUUUCCAGUUUUUUGUAUCCAGCCUGUUUUGUGAUUGUGUACUGUUGCAGAGAAGGGGAUAUACUAUAAAUAUGUGCAAACUUCAGUGUUCAAAUUAUUUGUAUUCAAAAGGAACUUCCAAUAAUAGGGAGGGUGAGACAUGUCAUUUACAAGAGGGUUAAGAAUAAAGAAGUUAUCUCUAUGCUAUUUUUGAUGGGACUUUUUCCUAUGAAAAACAGUUACCAGCAUAUAUGGAAACACUUCCUCAUUUUUUAAAGACCAUUCAUUUUAGUAUCAGAAGUAGUUGAAAAUCAAAAUAAAGUGGUUAUUUUAAUAAUAGCUCAGUAGAAAGAGUUCAUGUGUCAAGAGCAUUUACCUCCCAAACAGUUUUCUGACUCUAGUUUUCUUAGCAAGAAAAAUGUUAAUCUGUUGUGGAUGGACACUUUUUUUCCCCUCUUCUCAGAACAUGUGUGGUUUCCAUUAACUUCUUUCUCCACAGAACUUUGGAGAUGGCCACCACUGAUGCCUGUGGGUCAUCUGUGCUCCUAGAAUUGAACUGAAAUGGUACAGUACAUUUCUCCCCCUCUAUUGUCCUUCACGACAUGGAAUUCAUAGUCAGAUAGAUGAAUUGAAAUCCCAUCUUUAUCCCUUACUAGCUGUUUUACCCUGGACAAACUAGCCAGUGUAAGCCUCAGUUUCCUCAUCCGUAAAAUAGUUACUGUAAAGCAUUUAGCAAAGAGCUGCCACUAGAUCAUUGUUCACUGAUACUAGUUAUUAGCGUUAUUGGUGAUAGGCUUUUCCAAUACCAUCAUCAGGGGUGAAAGGCAUUUAUCAUAUGUGGUGUAUUGAGAGAACAGAAGGAGCCCUGAGAAGCAAUAAGAUAGAUCAAGAAAUGUAGCCACAGAAGAAUGGCCACGUUGGGAACAUCAGCCUGGCAUCUCUGGACCAGCUGGAGUGUCCCCAGCAUUAAGACCAGGGAGGCAGCCCAGUGACUUCUCUGGCAGGUCUCAGCUACGCCUAAAGGUACACCUCUCUCCCAAGCUGACCCAGGAGUCUGCUCUGUGGGGCCACUCUGCUUUAGACAAAUGCUGCUUUGGGUUCUGUUGGAAGUUUCCACUAGGCUCCUCCGAGACAGUUUUAGUUGGAAGUCCUCAGAGAGGUUUUAUUGAUUUGGGUUGAGGUCUUACUUAAAGUCAUCUCAAUCAUCAAAAGGUCUGGCUAUCCAGAAAUACAGUGCUGGUGUCUGAGCACUGUAGAAUUCCAGGAAGUUAUCAAAAAUAAGCGUUGAGAUACCCCCGCCCCCCAGCAACCAUAGAGGUCUGAGUUUACAAUAACUAUUAUUCUUAUGUAGAGCUGGCUCCAAAUAGUGAGUUUCCCCAGGCGCAGACUUACUAAUAGAAACCCACUUAGACACUGAAGAAAUGGGCCCAGUGUUUUUCUCAACUAUAAGUAAUGUAUUAUGCAUGAUUUAAAAAGGCUUCUCAGAAUGUCCUUGCUUAUGUAAAUCAAGAAUCAAUAUUUUUUAGAAAGAAGUUUUUAUAGAUAAGCCAUCACAUUAUUUGAUAAUCAGACAUCAUUUUCAAGUAGUUAAAAGGGUCAUUGGACAAAACCCAGUGGACUGACUUUGCUCCCUAAUUGCUAAGGAUUGAAACUCCACAUACCCUCUAAAUUAUGAACAGGCUUGAAUUUUUUAUGGGAAAGAAAUUAUUUUUUUAUGUAGGAUAAUUUUCAUGUCAACGUUAUAUUAGCCAGCUAGCUCUAUCAGGUUAUGCACGUUGCUGCUUUUACUCACCUGAUCCCUACUUUUCCUCUGUGAAGUUUAUUUUAAAUAAGAGAUUCAAGAAUGAGAGAGAAAGUAGGUUUGGAACGAGGGGAAUGAAUCAUGGGAAAACACUGCUGGUCCUUUUCAUUCGUCCUUGACAUUCUUGGAAUAUUCUUACCUCUGUUGACAGAGAGCAGCAGUUCAGCUGCAAGGCUUGCUAGCAGUAAGGGGCAUUGUGGGGCCCCCUGAGGAGGCGGUCGCUGGAACAUUGUCCCCGUUUUCUCCCAAGCAGUGCCUUACCUCUCUGUGAGUGGCGAGAGCCACUGGAAGGAUUUCAUGGGGGAUGGGGCGGGGGGGAGGGGGGGGGAGCUCAGCAGAGGGCAGCACUGUGACCCCGUGUGAGUGCUGACUGCCCCAGAGAUGGCAUGUUCCUAUACUCUGGGCCAAGUGGGGGCCCUGCCAGCCAGUGUGUCUCCGAGUACAGGCAGAUUGCUGGUAGGGGGAACAGUUUUAUUGGUUUUAUUGCUUCUGAAAAUAGAGGAAAUACUCAAGAGUGGUGGGAGAGAGGAGGAUAAGUAUAGCGUUUCCGUUUUCCUGCUCAUUCUGUUCUUCACAGCAUUUCAUUUUUCUUAAGAUGGAUUUUUAUCCUGCCAACUUCAACAGAAGAUAAUUGCCUACCAUUUCUAUCAGAUUGGCCCUCUCAUCACUUGUGUACUUACCGUUGUUUGUUUAUUUUUCCUACUCAAACUUUUGUACAAGGUGGUCCUGAAGGUGCUUGUCCGUAGACGUGGCACAGGUAUCGUGGGUUGCGGCGGGACCUCCCGUGAGUAGAUGGCAGGAGCAGUCUUGGUGUCCUAGCUAUGGAUGGACAGAGAUUCUGGAUACUGACUACCUUGUCCUUGUCCUUGUCCUUGUUUCUUCCAUGACCCAUUUCCUAGAGGGCUAUUCCACGUGCUUGUCACCCUGCCCCUUCCAUCAGCCCACAGUGCCCAGAACCUGUUCCUUGUGCACAGGAACGGUGCCGGAUGCCAUCCAGCAUGUUACCUUGCUGUGAAGGCAGCUAGCACCCUGGCUGUGAGGCACUGCCCAGCUGAGCAAAGCAGUGAGUGUAUUUAGGAGGUGCUUGGCAAAAGUGGACUCGGUAGGAGAUGGGAGGGGAAGGCAGGCUAGGUCGUCUUAGGGCAUCGUACACGGUGUGCCUGUUUACCAGACUGAAGUUUGUCGUUAUGUAAAAUUAUUAAGUAGGUACCCAUUUUAACAAAUAAAACUAACUUUGAGGUUUGGGAGGUAAGUGGCUUGUGUUAGAUUUUCGGCACAUAAACUGAAUAUAAGCAUUUCCCUAGUUUCUCAUUUCUUAAUUGUUCAGAGUGUCCAUUAGCAUGCUUAUCCUAGUGCCUGGCCUAGGUUUGCCCAUUACAAAGGUCCUAUGUUCAUAGGGCAGUGGACUCUGCGUUCCCAGGCCCCAGCACAGUCCCCGCCGGCAGUGUGCAGUAAUAAGUAAGCUACUCGUAGUUACCGGCUAAUAGGGCCAUGACCCGGUUUGAACUCCAUAAUGAGGAAAGAGCAGAUUUAUUUGCUCCCCCUGUGCGCCUCCCUCCCUGCCAUGCUCCUUUAUUAUCUUUAAGAGGAAAUUGAAUAGCAAAAUUCUGCAUUCUCAUAAUGUUAAUGGCCUGAUGUCAUCUUUUCCAGUCUGGAGUCAAGAGAGAGGGAUGACCAAAACACAGAUUUAACAUUUCAUAGCUGUCCAGAGCUUCAGCUGUAGGCUCUAUGGGUAUAUGUGUGUAUAUGUUUUCAACAGCUUCUGUAAGGUGUAAUGUAAACAGUGUGAAAUUCAGUGUGUAAUUCAUUGGUUUCUAAUAAUUUUGCCAAGUUGUGCGGUCAUCACCAGACUCCAGUGUUAGAACAUUUCCGUCGUCCUUGAAAGAUCCUUGGUGCCCAUUAGCAGUGGCUCCCUCCCCAUUUCCCCCCACCCCUGCUCCCCAGCCAUGGGCAACCAGUCAUCUAUUUGCUCUUCAUUUAGAUUGGCCUUUCUGCACAUUUCCUAUCAGUGGAAUCAAUGUGGUUUUAAUACAUUUGCCUUCUUUCACUUAGCAUAACGUUUUUGGGGUUCACCCAUAUUAUAGCAUGUAUCAGUAGUUUGUUCCUUUUUAUUCUUGAGUAGUAUUCUGUUGGAUGGAUAUACCACAUUUUGCCUGUCUCUUCACUCUUUAAUGGACAUUUGGGUUGUUUCUGGUUUGGGGCUAUCAUAGAUGCUGCUGCUAUAAAGACUCACAGAACUUUUUGUGUGGACGUGUGUUUUCGGUUCUUUUGGGUAGGUGCCUAGGAGUAUUACAGUAAAUUUAUGUGUAACUUAUUAAGAAACUGCCAGAUUGUUUUCCAAAAAAACUAUAUCCUGUUACAUUCCCAGAAGUGAGUGAUGUAUGAGGGUUCUAGUUUCUCCACACCCUAACCACAGGCUAUAUUUAAGGAAUAACCUUAAUUUUUAACUUUUAUUUGAUAUUCUAUGCAUAAAAGAAAGGUAGAAACUGUUUUAGUGUUUUUGUAACUUUUCAAGCAUUGUUAACACAAUUUAACCGAAACUGUAGUCCUUGGUACUCUGUCUUCUCCAAUCUCCGGGGUCUACCACCAGUCAGUGGUGCAAUAGUUUGCAGUAGUUUUACAAUGUUCCAUUUAAUUACGUUGUGUGUGUGUGUGUGUGUGUGUGUGUGUGUGUGUGUGUGGACUUGAUAUGAAGUAUGCAGGGUAUGUGUGUAUGUGUGCUGUUAAUUGUCUCAACAUUAAAUUAGUUUACUUUGAGAAGGGAUUUUAUUUUUUGGACUUUUCUUUUUAGUUUCUCUGUUCAGACAAAAGGUUAUAAGUUUAUAUUUCUUUUUUUUUUUUUUAAGUUUAUUUAUUUUGAGAGAGAGUACACACAAGUGGGGGAGGGGCAGAGAGAGAAGGAGGGAGAGAGAAUCCCAAGCAGGCUUCACGCUGUCAGCACAGAGCCCGACUCAGGGUUCGAACCCACGGACUGUGAGACCAUGACCUGAGCAGAAGUCAGGAGUCAGAUGCUUAACCAACUGAGCUACCUAAGCGCCCCAAGUUUAUAUUUCUAACUAUACAGAUUGUCUUAAUAUAGAGUAGACACAUGUGUUGUAGAACCAUGUUUUAUGGUACUUUAAAUAAUCAAAUGGUAAGUUUCUAGUUUAUAGAAUUAGGUAGCUUUUAAGCAUUCUUUAUUAAAAAUGCAAGUAGAGGUUUUUGUAUUAAUCUGGGCCAUUUCCAGAGGCAUCACAAAAGUUGUGCAGGAAUAAUUUAUCACAUAAUUUGACAUGGCAGGUAUUUCUGUGCACUUUCAAGACCAAGUGGUAAAAGUUGCUUAUUAUUUUUGUGUACUCUAGGAUUUGCAGGUGUGUUUUAUUCUGACAGUGAGCUUAUCAAAUAAGCAUUUUUCUAAGCACAUCCUAGUCACAGCCAAGCUUCCUGGGUGAUGUCUGUGGCUGCUCCAUGGGUGCCUCGGGACACCUGCAGGCCUGCUUGUCUUUUGAAUUUGUGCUUGUCCAGAGUUGGCUUUAGCAGUGACUGGAUAAAGAUAACGGUUUUUCAGGGAUGAGAGCACCUGACCUCCCAAGAAGAAAGGAUGAGAGGGGUACCCAAGUGCCAAGUGACAGAAGUCCAUGGGAAGGAAACAGCAGCAGAGAUGUUCUCCUGUGUCCUGAUGGCUGAAGAGACCACCGCAGCUGAAUACAAUUGGCAUGAACUGUCCUAGUCUCCAUAUCUGUUCUGACACUUUGACAUGUGGGAGCAGUUUGGUAUAAAGGAGUAGUUCUCAAGGGGCAGAAUCGCCCCCAUGAGGAUGAUGUGGUUAUCACGGCAGUUGGGGGGCACUGUGGCCAUUAGUGGGCUGCGUCCAGGAACCGUGUACCUACAGUUGUAGUUCUUCUCAGGGUGGCGAGGAAUCAGCUGCUUUCCUCAGCGUCUGGGUGCCUGCUGGAGAGUUACACAGGUGAAAAUCCUGGCUCUAAUCUAACUCUUGUAUACACAGUUUUAAUAUUUACCAAUUUUCUCUAGGAAUGUGACUGCCAAGUAAAUCUGUGAGGAUUGUAUGUUGUUGAAUUUUCCCCAAAGUGCUUGCCAUUUCAGAAAACUUUGUCCUCAGUGGGAAUGCUUUUGUGUCUGAGUAACUACACAGCGUGCUUGAUUCAGUUUGCAUUAAUAGCUGUGUGUUUAUGGGGAUUCUUCAGGCCUCUCAUUGCUUCAUUAUGUCUUUUAGGGUUCAUGGGUUUGUAAAUACCGCAGUGCACAUUACUACAUUUGGACCUGCUUUCCUUUGACUUCUCCUUUAUGUUACAGAUGGGGCAUUCUGUUAAGUUCUCCCUCCCAUUAUUUGUGGUAUGUGUGUUAGGCUAUCUAAGGAUUUCUCUUUGAGUUAGUUUUAAAAGCGAGGCAUUGUUUCUGAUAACCAUGAGAGCCAUUGGCUCCACGUUCCAAUAGGCUUUCAGUCCAUGUUACAGGUGUGUGUGGAAGGGGGUGUCCCCAGCUGAUGGGAGGUGCAGGGGGAGCUGAGUUUGCAGAUACCUGUGGAGGGCAGGGUGCUGCAUGUCACUGAGCUGUGCUCCUUUGCUGUAAAUGGAUUCUCCUGUGGGCUCUGUAGUACUCCCUGGGACUACUUGCUGUCUCCUCCAGUGCAGAACCCUCCCCUCCGUAGGGAAGGGGGGCGGGGGGAUGGUCACGAGGCUAGUCACAUAUUUCUGAGAAGAGAUGCAGAGUGGAGAGUGAAGAACUGAGCUGUCGGGCUUCAUGAUGACAUUACCUAAUUCCUUAGGGGCGCUGCAUAGACGCACACAUUAAAUCAUCUUACCAGUCUCAGUUUUCACAGCCUUGGCCCUUCUGUCUGUGUGUGUUCCUGACAAGGAGCUGUGCCCCCUGAUACACACUGGAGCAGCCCCUUCGGGCCUGUGUUUUGUUAGCAGGGCAGUUAGUUACUCGGAGCCCUCACCUGCAAGUGUCCUUCUCCCUGUGAGUGACAGUUUCCCCUCCUGGGCCCUCAGACACCUGCCAGCCUGUCAUCACUCUGGGCCACUUUGUGCCAUGCCAGUCCCUCUUCAUCCCUGGGUUUUCGAGACGUGAUAUUUGACCGGCUCCUAACGAUCUUAGCACUGAUUCAAGUUUGCAGAUUUUCCGAUACUAAUUAUUCUCCUUCUAAUUGUUACUGAUAUUUUGGGCAUUUCAGUGCUUGUAAGUGCCUUCUCCAACAGCUUAUUAGGGACACAAGGAGGGAAAAAAAUUAAUUCAGCUUUUUCAUGGAAGCUCCUGAGAAAGAUUUACUGGGGCAGGGACUUGGAAUUAAUUUUAAUUUAGUUUAUUUGUAAUAACCCAAGUCCACUGUUAAUAGAACAACUUGAGUUUCCACUAAGCCAUGCGUACGCCUUUGAGAGUUUCUUGGUAAAAUCUGAAUGACACUGCAGGGUAGCCUGGGCCACAGUAUGCCCGCCCCACGGGGCUGAUUGAGUGGGCUCUCUGGGGAUCCCAGUUUAUGUUGCUCGAAUUGUUGGACAUCUAGAUCGAGUGCUAACUGGUGCAGAGUGGUAUGUCCCCAGUUUCUACACAAAAUAACUUCAGUUUGUUCUCCUGUGUGGCACCUUUCCUGUAUUUUUACUUCAGCAUGUUUAACUCUGUUUCUCGUUUCAAAUCAACGUGAGCCAAGCAAAUCAACAUUUUUUUUGUUGCAAAAGUGGUAUACUGUCAAUUAGAGAAAACUUAGGAAAUACAGGAAAGGAUCAAGAAGAGGGUUGAAAACUGACAGUAAUCCAGUCAUCCAGAGAGCUACUUACUCUUAACAUUUUAGUGUUUGUCUUUUAAGUCUCUUAGUGAAAAAACUUAUUGAAAAAGAAUGGGAGUGUGUUUUGUGUUUAUGACUUCAAAGGUGGUUCAUUCAGGCUACUUUUUAUUUUUUCCUAAUUAACUGAAUUCAGUGAUUUUGAAAUUCUGCCUUUUUGGAAAGGUCUGUUUUAUACCUUUCAUAAAAAGUUAACUUGCUUGACAGUGAAUGCUAGAAUCCUGGCUUUCCCAGGGACUUGUGUACCUUAACUAAAUCCGUGUGGAAAUGACCCUGUGUGUACUAGAGUAAACCUUUGUAAACGCAAUUGUCACGAUCUCACGAAUGGAUGCCGGGAGUGGGUGUCCAGCGCUUGUGGGAUACUCCUUUUACCUUUGACUUUCUGCGUGUGGCCGCUGGUGUAAACAGUGGCAGCAACAUGCUGUGUCUCUGCUUCCUCUCUCAUUGUGAAUCAGACAGACAUCCAUUUCAGGAUCUGAGGGUAUGCUACCAGCUCGCCUCAUGACUUGUGGGUCGAGCUUGCAGUCACAGUAUGGGAACUAUGGAAGAUGCCUCUGUUCAUCAGUUAAAUAGGGGGCUAUUUCUGUUCCACUUCAAGAGUUAUGCUGAAAUUGAUACUCCCAGCUUGUUUCUAAGGAAUAUGCAGUUACACAGCCAUCUUGUCUUUUCUGGCUUCUAUUAAAAUGCAAAUAGUCUUAACUUCAAAGUAGUAUAAUUGAGUCCUGAACAGGGGUAUAACUGAUGCCGUGCCUCUCUGGGUUUUGUUUUUGUUUUUGUUUUUGUUUUUGUUUUUGCAGCCAGGCUGGCUUUUCUGGCUAUCUUGCUUUCUACAUUGGUGAAAACCCCUCCCAGAGAGGCUUCGUCCCAGGCUACUGGAAAGUCUGGCAUGUGCAUUGCCUAUUUCAUCCUUGGGGUGUGCAGGACAUACUCUGGUUAGGCACGGCCCACAUGUUCCCAGCAUGCCAGAAUGUGAUAUCUGGUAGGUCUUCAUUUUAACGUGAGAAGAAAGCAAGUCCCUUAGAAAAAUUUUACAGCAGCUGAUACCUGCCGAGUCGUGGCUGUCCGUGAAAGGUCAGGUGCACAGCUCCUUGACAAUGCCCUAACAGUGCCAGCUGGUGUGGAGCAUGACAUCAGAGCUGCACAGUCAUGAAAAUGAAAGGGGCCACUGGGGUUUAGUCCCCCGAGGAACCAAAGAAUUGCAGAAGCUUCCCUGUGCAUCUUGAAUACUCUUCCCAGCCCAGCUCCCAGAGGGUAGCAGAAUUAAAACACGAGCUUCCUAAACUGUUA
Molecule: long non-coding RNA, 20401 nt
Organism: Neofelis nebulosa (Clouded leopard)
Lineage: Eukaryota; Metazoa; Chordata; Mammalia; Carnivora; Felidae
Exons: 2
Source: RefSeq, a predicted model, not a curated record